ACUUUUAGAAUCGAUUAUUUAAGAAUUGAUUUUGUAUACUACAUACAAAAUCAAUUCUUAAAUAACCAAUUUUAAAAGU
This 79-nucleotide microRNA precursor is filed under the name Cajanus cajan (pigeon pea). Its description in RNAcentral is "miRNA gene-KK1_046484". Lineage: Eukaryota; Viridiplantae; Streptophyta; Magnoliopsida; Fabales; Fabaceae. The record is from RNAcentral.